UACAGAGGUCUCAAGCGUUGUUCGGAUUCAUUGGGCGUAAAGGGUGCGUAGGCGGCAGGGCAAGUCUGGUGUGAAAAUCCCCGGGGGCUCAACCCCGGACGUAGCACUGGAUACUGCCUUGCUAGAGUACUGGAGAGGAACGUGAAUUACGGUGUAGCAGUGAAAUGCGUAGAGAUCGUAAGGAAGACCAGUGGCGAAGGCGAGUUCCUGGACAGUAACUGACGCUGAGGCACGAAGGCCAGGGGAGCGAACGGGAUUAGAAACCCUAGUAGU
RNAcentral lists this ribosomal RNA (273 nucleotides) under uncultured bacterium. RNAcentral's name for it is "partial 16S ribosomal RNA". It matches the Rfam family "Bacterial small subunit ribosomal RNA", at positions 524 to 794 of the family's 1533-position model. The record is from RNAcentral.